ACUCAAAGGAAUUGACGGGGGCCCGCACAAGCGGUGGAUCAUGUGGUUUAAUUCGAAGCAACGCGAAGAACCUUACCUGGAUUUGACAUCCUCUGACAAUCCUAGAAAUAGGACUUCUGUAGCAAUACAGCAGAGAGACAGGUGCUGCAUGGCUGUCGUCAGCUCGUGUGGUGACAUGUUGGGUUAAGUCCCGCAACGAGCGCAACCCUUGUCUUUAGUUGCCAGCAUUCAGUUGGGCUCUCUAAAGAGACUGCCGUGGUUAACACGGAGGAAGGUGGGGAUGACGUCAAGUCCUCAUGGCCUUUAUAUCCAGGGCGACACACGUGAUACAAUGGACGGUACAGAGGGAUGCCAAGAAGCAAUUCGGAGCUAAUCUCAAAAAACCGUUCUCAGUUCGGAUUGGAGUCUGCAACUCGACUCCAUGAAGCUGGAAUCGCUAGUAAUCGCGGAUCAGCACGCCGCGGUGAAUACGUUCCCGGGCCUUGUACACACCGCCCGU
Molecule: ribosomal RNA, 499 nt
Filed under: uncultured bacterium
Lineage: Bacteria
Description: partial 16S ribosomal RNA
Rfam family: Bacterial small subunit ribosomal RNA
Source: RNAcentral